UACGGAGGGUGCAAGCGUUGACCGGAAUUAUUGGGUGUAAAGCGUACGUAGGCGGUCUGUCAAGUCGGAUGUGAAAUCCCCGGGCUCAACCGUGGAACUGCACUCGAAACUGGCAGGCUGGAGUCUUGUAGAGGGUGGCAGAAUUGCAGGUGUAGCGGUGAAAUGCGUAGAUAUCUGGAAGAAUACCGAUUGCGUAGGCGGCCGACUGGACAAAGACUGACGCUGAGGUGCGAAAGCGUGGGGAGCGAACAGG
This 253-nucleotide ribosomal RNA is filed under the name uncultured bacterium. RNAcentral's name for it is "partial 16S ribosomal RNA". It matches the Rfam family "Bacterial small subunit ribosomal RNA", at positions 524 to 776 of the family's 1533-position model. The record is from RNAcentral.